AUGAUUACCGCUACACACACAUCCAUUAUCACCCAGACGCCAGGGAGGGUGAUGGUGAAGGCUGGUGAUACAGUGACCUUGAAAUGCUAUUUGGUUGAGCUAAUCACCUACUGCUACUCUGUGAUUUGGAUGAAAGUAGACCCCAGGACUGGAACACUGAUUAAGAUUGCAAACUUAAAGAUUGAUAACAACUCUGAGGAUGGAGAAGGGAAACAGGACAAAGUAUGUUCUGCUACAAUCACCAAAACAACAGUGAGCGACUCAGGAAUGUACUAUUGUUCAGCUGUUCAAUCCGAAACGAUCCACACGGGCAAUGGUUCUAGAGUUGUUGUGACAGAGAGAGAGAGAACACAGAACAUCACUGAACCCCCAGCCAUCAAACUCCUCUCUCCAUCGGACGGUGACGGGACUGUAGUGUUGACGACUCUAUACAACACAGCAGAGUCCUUCAUACCUCUGCUGUGUUUGGUGUUGAAAGUGGUCCCAUCUCAGGUCCACGUGUUCUGGCUCAUAGACGGGAGAGAGUGCAGUGGACUAACUUCGUCCAUUUGGACAGACAACAGUGAUUCAGCCACAGAGUUCACUAUGAACCAGAUUCUAGUCCAGGCAGAGGAGUGGGACAGAGGGGUUCAGUGGACGUGUGUGGUGGAGUUUGAGGGAAAUUCUAUCAACAAAACCCUGAUAAAGCGCAAUGAUUCCACUGGCAUGUGCACAAUGGUGCUGUAUUGGAUAUCUGCAGCUGCUCUCCUCACCAUUAUAGUGGCUGUCACUGUCGCUGUGUGUCGGCACCGUGGACAUCCCGUGGUUACUGAUGCUGAUACAAGACAAAGAGGCACAGGCACAGAGAGCAGGCAGCAUCAAUCUGGGAGACUUGGAGAAGCAAGAAAGGCAGUUAGAUCAUCCGUCUCGGAGGUCCAGUAUGCGACUUUGGACCACAUCCAGCUUGGGAGACGCCCAAAUACAAUUAUCCAAUAAUAUUUUGAAGAAGAAACUGCAUAAGAGUGUUCAGAUUAUUAUGUAUGUAUUUGUGUACAAAGCAAGAGCCAGUGUCCGCAAUUGCUAAGUGCCCAGAGCCAAUAGUGCGGCACAGAGCUCUUUCUUUUAUAUUGUAAUUCAACUGUUGAAAAGCCUCCCAUUAGUCAUUAAUCUGUCCCAGUGCUAAAAUGUUUUCAAAGGUCAGGUUAGAGCCCUUCCGUGGGAAAACGUGUACAAGCCUAAAUAGGAAAAUGACUGAAAUAGUCUUGAAUUUUGUAUUGAUGAUAUAUUUAUCGUGGUGUAGGCUAAUUGGCUGCUUAUAGGCCCAUGUAUUUUCCUGUGUAUUUUAUUUUAUUUCUUACCUUUAUAUAACUAGGCAAGUCAGUUAAGAACAAAUUCUUAUUUUCAAUGACGGCCUAGGAACAGUGGGUUGUUCAGGGGCAGAACGACAGAUUCUGACCUUGUCCUGGUUUUGUCCUACACAGAGGACCACAUUGGAAAUAAGUGUUCUUAGCUAUCCUGUCUCCGCCUCAGGGAUUAUUUGUAAAUGAAUGUCUUGGUUUUUCUUUGUUUUCAUUUUAUUACCUCUUAUCUAAUUUACAAUUUUCCUGGAACUGUUGGUGCCAACACUGCCUAUGUUUUUGAACACAUGUUUAAAAACUUUGCUUGAAUGCUAGAAAAAAUUGAUUCCAAUUCUCAAUCUGAAACGCACUUUGACGAACUCUGUACAGCUUGUUUCUCUGACCAAAAUGAGAAGGCUCACUGUUUUUGACACUUGUAAGUUGUUUGAUCCUGCACAGACUGCAGAUUGUGUAACAUAUGAGAAAGUGUGACAGGUGCAGGACUGCAGCCCUCAGAACAGAAGCUGACCACAUACCACAGUAGUUUAAACUUUAGCUGCCUAACGCUCUCCUGCACACACACACAAUCUGUCUCUCGCUCUCUCUGCGAGGUGUGGUAUUCUCAGUAUGAUAUGCCUAUGGACAGACACAGCUUUGUUCAAAUCUGUUCCUUGCUUUUAACAAACCACUAGCAAAUUCUAUUUGCUGGCUUUUUUCACCCAAUAGCACAUUAUGAAAGAUGAACCUUUUUACUUUUGUGAUAUGCUAUCAGCUAUCACUUAACCUAACCUCAGCAGCUUUCACGAUAUCAAUGAAACUCAGACAAUAGAUGGAAUGUACUGUUGUCAUUGUAACAGUUCAUUUUACACAACAACAUUAUUUUAAAGGGUUGGAAAAUAGUUAUGCUCCUGCUUAGUCCCGAAUGGAAAAUAAAGCACCCUGGCUAAUUCAUGAAAAUGAUGUGUUUGGAUUAAGUCAUGGUAAAAUCAAGUAAGUAAUGGCAAGACUGAACAAAAGUAUUACCAUUUAGGUAAUGAAAUGUUAAUACUCUCAAUACAAAGUACAGUAGUCAUUUUUGUUAAAUAAAAAGUUACACUGAUUUUAGUCAACUGUAAAAAAA
Molecule: non-coding RNA, 2436 nt
Organism: Salvelinus fontinalis (brook trout)
Lineage: Eukaryota; Metazoa; Chordata; Actinopteri; Salmoniformes; Salmonidae
Source: the annotation of a RefSeq genome assembly